Long non-coding RNA from Odocoileus virginianus texanus, 2463 nucleotides. RefSeq lists it as uncharacterized. NCBI's taxonomy places the organism in Eukaryota, Metazoa, Chordata, Mammalia, Artiodactyla, Cervidae. The record is from RefSeq and is a predicted model, not a curated record.
AGGUUCGGAGGGCCUUGAAAACCCUUCACUCCCUCCAUCACCGGACUCCCUCCCUCGGCCCGGCUCCCCUCCCCAGAACAGAGCUCCAUCAGACACCUCUGCACUCUGCGUUCAAAAUGCCCCCAACCGGAGCCUUCCCAGGAGGGCCUGGAGUGUCAGCGAAGCCCCACAGGUCCUGGUGGCCACGUCGGCAGGGCACAGCAUCACCUCUGCUGAGGCGGGGCCCCUGAGACUGCGUCCAGCAGAGAAACCAUAGGAACACCCACCUUUUCAUACCAGACCAUCAUCCUGUCCAAGACCCCUCCGCUGCUCCUGAUCCUUGCCCCCACCCUGCGGGUGUACCUUCUGCUGCUCCGGGGAGGAUCUGUUCUGAUAUUCAGCUGGAGUGGAUCGGAACCACCAUGCUGGUGAUGUAUAUGUAGAUGCCCAGCGAGCCGAAAGGCUGAUUCACUGGCCCUGCUGUCAUUGAAUAUUCUCCCUUGGGGGAGCGGCAGGGCGAGGGGGGAGUCCCUUCCCCCCACCACUUGUCUACCACCCCCUACGAUUGCUUAUGCAUUUGGAGCUUCACUGUCAUUCAGACACCCAAAAAGCCUCCCAGGCCAGCAAAUUUCUUCUGACUGAACUACAGCGUCUACUUCCGCCUCUAGUCCCCUCUUCCUUCCUGGUAUUAAUAGAUGGUGAACAGAGCCAAAUGGAAAUGUCACGCAGCCUUGUCUUCCCAAAUCCUCUCCUAGCUCCCCUGUUUCUCUGCAAUCUAAUCCCUCCCUCCCGUGUCGGCUCCUGAUUUCUACAUAAAGCCUCAGCUGCUGCUCCGGGUCCCAGGAUGCUCUCUCUGAAAUGACCAGCGCAAACCAGCAUGGACCUACACACCGCUUGGGAGGACGCUGCCUCGGGGAAACAGAGCUGGACCCAGGGAGCAUAACUGCUCUGCUUACAGGCUGUGUUAUCAUCGCUGGAAAAACCCGCAGACAGGAACCUUGUUACCGCCGGAGGAACGUUCUGAUUAUUGUGACACAGCCGUAGAUGGGAGGCACUAUUUUUGUCCUAUUUUGCAGAUCAGGAAACUAAGAUUUAGACAGUUUACGGCAGCGGGAAGUGGAAGCUCAGAGAGAAGAGAAGAAUGAUCCCAGCCCUCGACUGUGACAGAAAGACACUUGAUCAAGCCUCCUCCCUCCAAGGAUGAGAUAGUUCUGAGCUGUGUUCCACACCGUCUCCCAGAGCUCCCCAGUGGGGAUGGGGCCUCGUUACCUGGUCACCACUGAGGGUUGAUGAUGUUUCUUACCAUCCCUGCAGCAUCGCUUGACCAUUCUCUUAGUGGGAUUCCCCAGAUUGCCUCCCAAUACUUCCCUUACCCUUGAAUUCUCAUCUCAGGAGCUUCUUCUGAAGAAACUCAAAUGUGGACUCAUCCGUACUGUGGACAAAGAGAGUUACCUGUCAUUUCAGUCAACAAAGUAAAAUGUUGAGGCCGUAAAGUCAUCAGCCAUUGCAACUGUCCCCCACCCCGUCCCUCAGUGGUGUACCUUGAGGGGAUUCAGGGUGGAAAAAAACAGGAUGCUGGCGCUAGAUAGUUAAGGUGCAUAUCAAAAGAAUAAUUUAAUUUAGUCCAGACACUUGCAUCUUCUCAUACAUAGAAAAGUGUCAAUUCAUUAACUUAAGAUGUCUGUUUUUUCUUUAAUUAGAUUACUAUCUUUGCUGUUUGACCACCUGAGUUUUUUUUUUUCUUUUUCUUUUGGAAGAAACUCCUAUAUAUCCUGGCUCCUCCCUUACCUCUUCAGAGCAGCCCCUCCAAGAGGCUGUAUCUUGGGCUACAGUGCUCAGUAAGUCUGCCAAGCAAAAUAUUAAUUUUCAACUUCUAGGUUGUGCAUUUUUAUUCAGUUGACAGCAUGAUGAACAAGGACUCACAGCCUGGGGAGGAAAACAGAUCAUCUCAGAGGCCCUGCUGUGUCUGCAGUCAGGGGCCUGGGGGUGGGGUCCCUACGCACAUGGAGCCUGUGUGUGAGACACGUGAAUGAGGGCACACAUCCUCGUGUACACGUGGGUGGCUGUCCAUGUCUCUGGGCAAGCUCAUGAGCUAAAAAUAGGGAAGGAAAAUGUAAGCAGCUUCUUAUGUAAAUAUUGGGCAACUGAAUAAUUUUCUUUUGUUUCUAGUCAUUUCAGUCUCUGAAACUUUGCUGCUCUUUCCCUUGGAUUGAGGGUGGGAGUGGAGGUGGGGGAAAAUGAGGUUAUUUUGGUCCUGGGGAAUUCAGGGUCCCUCACUCAAUGCAUGUAUCCCCUUUCUCUCCCACCCACUUGAGCCUCCAAAGGAAAGAUCUACUGAAGAGACGAGGUUCCUGUUACCUUGGCAAAGGAUGAUGCCAAGGGGAUGCCUCUGCUCGUCUGGAUAGCAGACAAUCCACAGAGAGACACAGGCUCAGGCAGUUGCUGCCCCUGGCCGUUCCACCCUGUUAUCCCAGCUCCAGAGAA